This 72-nucleotide transfer RNA is filed under the name Planctomycetia bacterium. RNAcentral's name for it is "tRNA-Ile". It matches the Rfam family "tRNA". Rfam says of the family: Transfer RNA (tRNA) molecules are approximately 80 nucleotides in length. Lineage: Bacteria; Pseudomonadati; Planctomycetota; Planctomycetia. The record is from RNAcentral.
AGUCUGGUGGUGUAACAGUAGCACGGCGAUCUGAUACGUCGCUGGAGGCAGGUGCGAUUCCUCCCCGGACUA